Molecule: RNA transcript, 1278 nt
Organism: Neltuma alba
Lineage: Eukaryota; Viridiplantae; Streptophyta; Magnoliopsida; Fabales; Fabaceae
Exons: 7
Source: RefSeq, a predicted model, not a curated record
UCGGACUCGACAAUCGCUCGGUGGAUUAGUGUUAAGGCACCAGACCGGGCGUCUCCGUGCGGAAAUAGCAGAUAUCGUGAAAGCAUCAAACUUUUAUCUCUUCUGAUAAGUUCAAAGCUAGAACUCUGCUUGUUCGAUAUGGAAUCGGGCUCGAGCAUGGAAGAAUCCACUUCGUGGGAUGAGCUAUAUAAUAUCAAUUUGAUGCCGUCGGAGUUCUUCCUUAAGUUCCGGAAGGAGACACAAGGUUUUCGAGUUGGUCUUAAUAUGGAGUUCUACAAUGCUCCAUGCAAUGAAUAUCAAGCAAAGCUUGUAUUGAAACCUUUGGCACCUGAAUGGAAGUGGAAAUUUAUUUGUGAGCCUAUUCAUCGUGACGUUCGCAUCCUCUCGAAGAAGAUCCCAAUAACCAAAUUUCUGAAUCUCCAGGUUGGUGUGGGACACAAUUUUCAGAUGCAUGCUACUGGGUGGAAAUGGAAGCUUACGACAUGUUUGGGUGGGGAUGGUGUCUCGCGGAUUCGAAACAAGACAACUCUUGGCUUGUUUCCUGGCUUUGAUUUCCGGUUUGGAUGGAGGGCAGAUUAUGUUCUUCCAGAGCUUACUGGAGCUCUGGGAACUGGUGAGCCAUUGUUCAACAUGAACUCAGGACGAUUACAAGCAUCACUUGAUAGAGUUGAGGCCAUCUUAACCCACAGUGAUGCUGAUUGAUUCAAGCAAAGAAGAGGCGAUAACAACAAGAGAAAGUAUACCAGAUCUCGUUCUUUUGAACUUUCAAGAAAUUUGAGCCAAAGUUUAUUUAUGAGUAUGCUUCCUUGUAUCAAAGGACCUCGAUGCAUCUCACACUGGCUCUGCCUCAUAGCAAACAAUGGGCAAAGCAAGAUUUAUCUGUGAUGAGGGAAAUGGCAAAAGGAAUUUGAACUUUGAAGAGGAUACCCUUAUUGGUCUUUGAAAAGUGUGUCAACUCUUUGGUCUUUACAUCUUAUCCUUACAUGAUUCAAUUUUUUAGGGUUUGGUAUAUAUCAAUGUGUGGGUUUUUCUGUGUCUGUGCAAAACCAACUCAGGAACGAAAUGUCUCCUCCACCUUUAAUGUUAGUUUUUUUAGAAGAUAUUUUUUAUUGUUUUUUUUUUUUAAAGCACUGCGGCUUAUCCCCUCAUUCUGAAUUAUGCCUGGAGACCAAGAGAACCAAUACUAGCGAUCUUAUUACUGUCACUGACCAUUAUAUGAAAAUUGAAAACCCAAAAUAUGGUUAUCAAAAGAAAUGAUAUUUUGUGAAUGAGGCUUUA